Long non-coding RNA from Pezoporus occidentalis (night parrot), 1344 nucleotides. RefSeq lists it as uncharacterized. The transcript has 6 exons. NCBI's taxonomy places the organism in Eukaryota, Metazoa, Chordata, Aves, Psittaciformes, Psittacidae. The record is from RefSeq and is a predicted model, not a curated record.
GGGAAGGAACAGAAAGACAGAGUUAUUUUUAGGAAGCGAAUUGUAGUAAAAAUGUUGGUAUUCCCACUAUGUAAAAACCAAAACUACGAGUAUGUUUGGGUGUAAUCCUCUACUAAAGCAUGUCAGGGGAAAAGAGAAUGUUAUUCAUAGCUUUAAUGGGCUUUCUUCUUCUCUAAGGAUGUUUCCUGAGUGCAUAGGACCAUGGAAACGUUCCUGCCAGGUAGAGGAAGGCAGCUCUGCAAUAAAUACCCACGUGCACACCCUACCCCAGCAAGUCACAAGUUUCCCAAUGGAAACGGGGAGCUCUGCAUCUCUGUAUCCUCUUUGGUCUGAAUGUUCUCAGCUCCUGCCAGUGCUGAUCUGCCAAUGACUACAAGUUGUGGUGAGGUGCCACAUUACUGUACCUCACGUUUCUUUGACCCUUGCUCCUCAAUAUCCAUAGGAGGAAAGAAGGACGACCAUUCCUGCUCUUCCCAGGAAAUCUUUAUGUGCUACCCACUGGGACAAACUUUGAUCCGGAUCCAGACCACCACAGUAUCUCCUAAAACCACCUCUAGAGUUGGCCUUGGAAGCGUCAGGGAGAUGUAGGACAAGAGACAAACAGAGCCACCUUGGUUGCUACGAAUUAAAGGGCUGCCCAGUGACUCCAUCCCCGUCUCCUCCGGGAGAGGUCUGCAGGCAAGCCGAGAUGUGGAGGUCAAAAGACAGGAGGGAACAGGGAACAAACCUUGGGAAGUCCUCGUCUUGCCACUCCUCCUUCACAUCCACGUUUUCCAUCCGCAAAGUGGCCUCUGUGGUCCCCAUGGUGCUCAGAGAGGGGCCGGCUGCACAGCAGGUCCCUUGGGGAAGGGCUUGGGCUGGAAGGUGGAAGGCAGAGGUUGGCACCAAACCAUUCAGAGCAGCAAUUCCCGACUGCUGCUCCUGGUUUGUUCUCCAUCCCCACACUUGUCCCUGCACCCUGAGAGAAACGGGGCUGAGGGCUCAGGACCAGCUCUGGUCAGAGGGAGCAGGUAGGCUGGAUGCUGCUGUGGCUGAGCUUAGCUGCACCUGAGUCUGGAGGGGACAAGGUCAGGCCUUAUCCUGUACAGAACUCGCUGAUGUGAAACCAGCACGUGCAUUAACCCACUGCAGUCAAAGGAGAUACCUUGGGGCUGAGAGAGACCCCACCUUCCCUCCCUCCUCCCCACCGCUGUCAUCUGCUUUCUGCUAACCCUGAACGCAUCAUGGAGGGAGGAAGAGAAAGGAAAGGUAUGAAGCAAAUCUCAGGCUGGAGUGGGAUGUUCCUCAGUAUCAGACAUCACCCAGCAGUAUGGAAGCCCAGAUGAUGCUGUACUCACCAGUGCC